UACGGAAGGCAGCAGUGGGGAAUAUUGCACAAUGGGCGAAAGCCUGAUGCAGCUAUGCCGCGUGUAUGAAGAAGGCCUUAGGGUUGUAAAGUACUUUCAUCGGGGAGGAAAAACAAAACUAAUAAUUUUAUUUCUUGACGUUACCCGAAAAAGAAGCACCGGCUAACUCCGUGCCAGCAGCCGCGGUAAUACGGAGGGUGCUAGCGUUAAUCAGAAUUACUGGGCGUAAAGAGCACGUAGGUGGUUUUUUUAAAGUCAGAUGUGAAAUCCCUGGGCUUAACCUGGAACUGCAUUUUGAAACUGAAAUACUAGAGUAUCGUAGAGGGAGGUAGAAUUCUAGGUGUAGCGGUGAAAUGCGUAGAUAUCUGGAGGAAUACCUGUGGCGAAAGCGGCCUCCUAAACGAAUACUGACACUGAGGUGCGAAAGCGUGGGGAGCAAACAGGGAUUAAUACC
Molecule: ribosomal RNA, 454 nt
Filed under: uncultured bacterium
Lineage: Bacteria
Description: bacterial SSU rRNA
Rfam family: Bacterial small subunit ribosomal RNA
Source: RNAcentral